This 774-nucleotide long non-coding RNA is filed under the name Phoenix dactylifera (date palm). RNAcentral describes it as "long non-coding RNA (PDAC_LNC000325)". The record is from RNAcentral. Lineage: Eukaryota; Viridiplantae; Streptophyta; Magnoliopsida; Arecales; Arecaceae.
GAGUUGGUAUGAAUUAUAUUAUAAAAAUUAUGGAUGAUAUUUUUAAUUUGAUUAUGUAUAUGUAAAAAUUUUGAAAUACAUAAAAAAGUCAAAUGGUUUUCGAUUUCAGUAUUGUGCUUGAAUACAAGAUGCCUAGAAAGAAGGUUUUGCAUGUUUGGUUGACCUUUAAAAAGUAGCACAUUAUAAAGUGGUUUAUGUUUGGUUGAACAUCUAUUUUUCUAAAAAAGUCAUAUAAAAUAUAUGUUAUACUCUUAAUAAAAGAAAAUAUCUUACCACAUUUUAUUUAAAAGCUUUGGAUAAUUUUUUUAAAAAAUUAUCUCAAUUUCUAGUCUGCUGGUAGGAAAUAGAUUUUUUCAUAUUUCAUAAGAGUUUUUAUUUUUUCUAUGUUUCCAUUGAUUUUUUUUUUCUUUCCACAAACCAACGCGUUUCAAGUAUAACCACUUCCAACCACGACGGACACUAAGUAAGAUUAGAGGUGGCAAAAUAUGACCCGACCUGCCAACCCGAAACAGGUUCGGAUCAUAAACAGGUUGACCCAUUUAACCUGUUUAUUAAUUGGGUCGGAUACAGAUUUUAAAUGUCUGAUUCGUUUAACCUGUUUAACCCGUUUAAUAUAUGGAUUGGAUUCGAUCAGACAAGGCAGCCCAAGCCUUGGCCCAAAGGAAAGCAAUAACUACUUAUCUCCACAGCCCACAGGUUGCUUAGCCCAUAGUCCAGCAUGAUUUAAUAAGAUGGGACGGGUCACGGGGUCAGGGAUAGGGAGUCAGGCCGUCA